RNAcentral lists this transfer RNA (74 nucleotides) under Cyanophage S-RIM32. It matches the Rfam family "tRNA". Rfam says of the family: Transfer RNA (tRNA) molecules are approximately 80 nucleotides in length. Their secondary structure includes four short double-helical elements and three loops (D, anti-codon, and T loops). Lineage: Duplodnaviria; Heunggongvirae; Uroviricota; Caudoviricetes; Pantevenvirales; Kyanoviridae. The record is from Rfam by way of RNAcentral.
GGGGUAGUAGCUCAGUUGGUUAGAGUACCUGCCUGUCACGCAGGGUGCCGUGGGUUCAAGUCCCAUCUAUCCCG